UUCACUGUAGAAAUGGAUUUUGUCUUGCUCCGAGAAUCCUGUUCGUUCCAGUUGGGUUCUGUUAGUUUUUUGUGGUGAGGGAAAAGCAUUUCAACAAUCCCUACCCUUCUGCUGGAAAAUACGUCUCACCCUGGUCUGUUAUCUUCUUUUUGUGUAGAGUGAGCAGCAGCUGGAGAAAAAUGCAUUGUCCCAGGACACCGAGGACACCAUCUUAGGAAGUGACUCCCGUGUGGGAGAGCAGGCCACAGCGGGAUGGCUACAGAGGGCAUUUUCCAGUUCAGCAAAGGUGUAUCUGGCUUCCUCUGUCCCCUGUUGCAGAAUUCCUAGCUUCCGUGGUUGCAUCCAGAGAUCUUACAGCUUCUGCGUAGCUCUCUUGGAAUGCUCACUCUGGGGGAAUCCAGCCACAGUGAUAGAAGAUAUCUGACUACCCCGGGACUACCUUGCCGUGAGGAAACCCAAGGUAGCCAUACGGAGAAGCCAUGUGGACAGAGACUCAACUAAUAAGAAGAAAAAAGAGAGACGACCAUUUAUGGAGUGCUUGCUGCGUGCCCGGCGUGUCACAGCCUUCUCCUGAACAUUGUUGCGUUCCCAUUUUACAGAGGAGAAAUCCAAGGCUCCGAGAGGGGAAAGUGCUUCAGACAGAAGACCACAUGGAGUCUUGUGCAGGCCCUGUCCAAACCACCCCUGCCCUAGGAGCUGCACAAAAUGCCCAUGCUAUUCCUCCCUUGCUUGGAUGAUGACAGGUG
Long non-coding RNA from Canis lupus familiaris (dog), 746 nucleotides. RefSeq lists it as uncharacterized. Lineage: Eukaryota; Metazoa; Chordata; Mammalia; Carnivora; Canidae. The record is from RefSeq and is a predicted model, not a curated record. The transcript has 5 exons.